CUUCGGACUCUUUUUUCCCUUCGUCACAGCUGUAAAUAUUUCCAUUUCUUUAGGUUGCUUACAGAUAUUGAAAUGAAUAUCCUCGUUCAUUUGCUUUUUCCAUUGCUGAUGAUUUUUCUCUUCGUCGCCUUUCAAGCUUCGCCAAAUGAUAUAAACUGUACGGCUGUGAUAAACAAACAAAACUAUGACUGCAUAAAUGCCACUGGAGUAUUGUUGCGUGAAAAGCGAAAGGCUCGGUGGCGUAAAAGGCGUAGGAAAUCAAAAAAGUGUCGUAUCAGAAUAUUUAGAAAAAAAUGUGGUCGAAAAAGAAGGAAACGG
Paramuricea clavata is the source of this 318-nucleotide non-coding RNA. NCBI's taxonomy places the organism in Eukaryota, Metazoa, Cnidaria, Anthozoa, Malacalcyonacea, Plexauridae. The record is from the annotation of a GenBank genome assembly.